Molecule: long non-coding RNA, 1512 nt
Organism: Petromyzon marinus (sea lamprey)
Lineage: Eukaryota; Metazoa; Chordata; Hyperoartia; Petromyzontiformes; Petromyzontidae
Source: RefSeq, a predicted model, not a curated record
GCGCGCGCGGGUCAGAAGAGCGCCAACAUAAAUGAGGUAAACAAACGGAGACACGAUGUUUAGAAGCGCUGCGGCGGGCGAGGGCCUUCGCGAGGAGCUGCCGCGGGCUCGUGAGGCGACAGCAGCCGCCGGAUUUACGAGCGGAGCGCCGCGGCGCGCGGGGCAGAGGGAGAGAAAUGGCGCGGGCGUCUUUCGCAGCGGCGGGCGACGGACGGGGAGUUGAGGGCUGGACGCGAGACGACCGAAGGCAGCUCCCGCGCACGUGAACGCCCGCCGGAGCCUCACACGCAAUCGCUACGCCGCUCUGCAGCCGAGGCGUCAAAGCAGAGUAAAUAAAACAAUAUGAUCUCCGCCGGUUUAAUGAUUGCAAGCGGUCCAAUUCGUCUCCGCGACGGCAGGAAACACCGGCCUAGAAGUGGACCGUGGCGGGAGCCGCUGCUGCCGCUGUCGCCGAUACCACCACCGCCGCUGCCGCCGGUUAAACCGUAGCUGUGAGAUUCAUUUUUCCUGUGUAUAAUGUUAUUGUUGUUGUUCCCCCCCCCCCGACUCCUACCUCCCCCACACUGCGCGACUAUCGCCGGCAUCGCACGAGACGAAGAACCCAUCGGGAUCUCUCACAGCGGAGCGGCGCGUGUCACUCCGUACACAGACGGCGAAUCGGUGCGCUUCCAUCACCGGGCACACCUCGCCGACCGGCUCGCUCGCGGCUGCCACCAAUUACCACGGCCCCCCCGCUCGCCGAGCGACGACUGCCGCGGCACUCGCCGCACCUCCACCCCCCACUCUUCUCCCCCCCCCCCCCACCCCCCCCCGGGAGGAGACGCCACGGCAACCGAGCAGCGGGACUCUCGGAUACCCGCCCCUGCCGCCCCGACGCGGGGCGCCGCCGGCGCCCGACGUUGCCAAGGAGCUCACGGCGUGGAGAUGCCGGACGUACGUACGGACGGAGAGACAGACGGACAAACACCUUGUCGGCCCUCGUGCGUUCUCUCUGGCUGUCCGCAUGUAAGUCACGGAGUCACAUGGACAGAGCGGCUGGGGCACGCUGCUGGCGGCCGCCACGCUACACUUCUCCUCGAAGGUUUUGUCGACGAACACAAGGGGGGCGGGAAUUCCGGCGAUGGCAGGAGGGAAGGCCCGAAGCCCCACCGCAGGGUGAAUGCACGGAGAGCCUUGUUUACAAAACCAGUCAAUAGAUAGAUAAACCGCCCCUGCCGGCAGCAUCCCCCCUCUAGCCCAGGAACGUUGCAAAUGACCCGCCACCCCUCCACCCCUGUACAUGUACAGCCCCGGUGGUGUUAGCGGUGGUUGUUUGGGUGGUGAUGGUUGCUUAGGUUAUUAUGGCAGCGGCGGUUUACAUGGUGGUGGUGAUAGUUGUGAUGAAUUAGAUGCUCGUGGUUGUUGUUUAUGUUUGCCGUGGUUGGUGGGCCGUACCCUCUCCUCGUAGGCUCACUCGACGCCACGCUCCGCCGAUCCAGGUGCCGCGGUUUCUCCACCUCCCACUGCAGCAAC